Molecule: ribosomal RNA, 503 nt
Filed under: uncultured Sphingobacteriales bacterium
Lineage: Bacteria; Pseudomonadati; Bacteroidota; Sphingobacteriia; Sphingobacteriales
Description: bacterial SSU rRNA
Rfam family: Bacterial small subunit ribosomal RNA
Source: RNAcentral
CGCCUUGCCAGCCCGCUCAGAAACUCAAAUGAAUUGACGGGGGCCCGCACAAGCGGUGGAGCAUGUGGUUUAAUUCGAUGAUACGCGAGGAACCUUACCUGGGCUCAAAUGUAUGUUGACGUAUUCUGAAAGGGAUACUUCUUCGGACAAUAUACAAGGUGCUGCAUGGUUGUCGUCAGCUCGUGCCGUGAGGUGUCGGGUUAAGUCCCAUAACGAGCGCAACCCCUAUCAUUAGUUGCCAUCAGGUCAAGCUGGGGACUCUAAUGAAACUGCCUACGCAAGUAGUGAGGAAGGUGGGGAUGACGUCAAAUCAGCACGGCCCUUACGGCCUGGGCUACACACGUGCUACAAUGGUCGGUACAAAGGGUUGCCAAGCCGCGAGGUGGAGCUAAUCCCAUAAAACCGAUCGUAGUCCGGAUCGCAGUCUGCAACUCGACUGCGUGAAGUCGGAAUCGCUAGUAAUCGUGAAUCAGAAUGUCACGGUGAAUACGUUCCCGGGCCUU